Regulatory RNA element from Lactococcus garvieae Lg2, 168 nucleotides. It matches the Rfam family "Lysine riboswitch aptamer". Rfam says of the family: Riboswitches are metabolite binding domains within certain messenger RNAs that serve as precision sensors for their corresponding targets. Allosteric rearrangement of mRNA structure is mediated by ligand binding, and this results in modulation of gene expression. Lineage: Bacteria; Bacillati; Bacillota; Bacilli; Lactobacillales; Streptococcaceae. The record is from Rfam.
UAAAAUGAUAGAGGUCGCAAUGAAUAGGAAGUUUUACUGAGCUGGACAAGCGUUGAAGUAAAACGGAGGAGACAUUGCCGAAAUGAAUUCACUCGUCCAAGUGAGUUUGUUGGGGCAGCAAGGGAUACUUGCUGAACUGUCGCAGUUUUGCGGAGUGCUAUUCGUUAC